RNAcentral lists this ribosomal RNA (215 nucleotides) under uncultured Streptococcus sp. RNAcentral's name for it is "partial 16S ribosomal RNA". It matches the Rfam family "Bacterial small subunit ribosomal RNA", at positions 1167 to 1382 of the family's 1533-position model. The record is from RNAcentral. Lineage: Bacteria; Bacillati; Bacillota; Bacilli; Lactobacillales; Streptococcaceae.
AGGAAGGUGGGAUGACGUCAAAUCAUCAUGCCCCUUAUGACCUGGGCUACACACGUGCUACAAUGGUUGGUACAACGAGUUGCGAGUCGGUGACGGCGAGCUAAUCUCUUAAAGCCAAUCUCAGUUCGGAUUGUAGGCUGCAACUCGCCUACAUGAAGUCGGAAUCGCUAGUAAUCGCGGAUCAGCAUGCCGCGGUGAAUACGUUCCCGGGCCUU